Molecule: ribosomal RNA, 269 nt
Filed under: Salmonella enterica
Lineage: Bacteria; Pseudomonadati; Pseudomonadota; Gammaproteobacteria; Enterobacterales; Enterobacteriaceae
Also listed under: 1 other name
Description: partial 16S ribosomal RNA
Rfam family: Bacterial small subunit ribosomal RNA
Source: RNAcentral
UGCCAGUGAUAAACUGGAGGAAGGUGGGGAUGACGUCAAGUCAUCAUGGCCCUUACGACCAGGGCUACACACGUGCUACAAUGGCGCAUACAAAGAGAAGCGACCUCGCGAGAGCAAGCGGACCUCAUAAAGUGCGUCGUAGUCCGGAUUGGAGUCUGCAACUCGACUCCAUGAAGUCGGAAUCGCUAGUAAUCGUGGAUCAGAAUGCCACGGUGAAUACGUUCCCGGGCCUUGUACACACCGCCCGUCACACCAUGGGAGUGGGUUGC